This 100-nucleotide transfer RNA is filed under the name Xylaria cubensis. RNAcentral's name for it is "tRNA-Trp". It matches the Rfam family "tRNA". From Rfam's summary of the family: Transfer RNA (tRNA) molecules are approximately 80 nucleotides in length. RNAcentral also lists the same sequence under 1 other name. Lineage: Eukaryota; Fungi; Ascomycota; Sordariomycetes; Xylariales; Xylariaceae. The record is from RNAcentral.
GGACCCAUAGCUCAGCGGUAGAGCAUCUGAUUCCAGCUUGAAGCUUAAAUAAACAUCAACUGCCUCCAGAAGGUCAUCCGUUCAAAUCGGGUUGGGUUCA